This 318-nucleotide ribosomal RNA is filed under the name uncultured soil bacterium. Its description in RNAcentral is "bacterial SSU rRNA". It matches the Rfam family "Bacterial small subunit ribosomal RNA", at positions 26 to 334 of the family's 1533-position model. The record is from RNAcentral.
AGAUUGAACGCUGGCGGAAUGCUUUACACAUGCAAGUCGAACGGCAGCACGGGGGGCAACCCUGGUGGCGAGUGGCGAACGGGUGAGUAAUACAUCGGAACGUGCCCAGUCGUGGGGGAUAACUUACGCGGAAAGCGUAGCUAAUACCGCAUACGAUCUACGGAUGAAAGCGGGGGAUCGCAAGACCUCGCGCGAUUGGAGCGGCCGAUGGCAGAUUAGGUAGUUGGGUAGGGGUAAAGGCUACACCAAGCCGUCGAAUCUGUAGCUGGUCUGAGAGGACGACCGAGCCCACGACGUAGGGACUGGAGAACCGACCGG